Long non-coding RNA from Cervus elaphus (red deer), 3468 nucleotides. RefSeq lists it as uncharacterized. The record is from RefSeq and is a predicted model, not a curated record. The transcript is spliced from 13 exons. Lineage: Eukaryota; Metazoa; Chordata; Mammalia; Artiodactyla; Cervidae.
GUUUUAUGUCUGAGAUCUUCCGAAGGACCCACUACUGGCACUAAUGGAACACCUCAUAUUGGAUGGAGAAUCUGCAGAGCUUCAUUACAGAACAUCAGCAUACUAUUUCUGAUCAUCUGACAGCAUUCUGGGUGCACUCACAAUAAUUGGCCCGUGUCAAACAUUGUUCUCUUUCCACUUGUGAUUGGGAAUGACUGCAAGUUGGCCCCACCCUUAUUCUCUGCCAAAUCCUGCUGGUUGCAAAGCUCUCAUUUUUACCACUCUGUGAGAUGGAUUGAAACUGUGAGAAAGUACCAAGUAAUCCCUCCCCAACCUCAGUAAAAGUGAUAUGCAAGAACUGAGCAGAUCACAACAGACUCAACGACAAAUGAAAGCCCAUCCGUCUAGACCAGCUAAUAACUGAAGAAAAGGAAAGGAAACAAAGUUGAUGAAUAAUAGGACCCUGUCAAAGGUGGAGAACCAGAAGGAACAACAUGAGAAAUGAAAGGUAUAACCAUCAAGGGGAGCAAUACAGACUUUGGGCUGGAAAAUGACAGGAUCAAGAAAACAGUAGAGACACAAAGUUGGGAGGUUUGUUGAAAGCACGUGCAACUCCAUGAAAUAAGUUUCAGAGAUCAAGGUGAAACUUCUUCCCCCUUCAGGGUAAACCCUGUCAACAGCAGGAGAUAAAAACCGCAGUCAAUAGCACUGAGCGAAAGAAAACUCUCCACAUCUGGAAAGAACAGCAACGAAGAACAGGAAUUGGCGCGUUCAUGCGCAGCUCCUACCGGGCAUGUUUUGUUUAAUUUCCUCCGUCUUUAUGACAUUUUCCUAUGCUGCUACUCCAGACGUUCAAUAAAACACCUCACCGCCGAGAAACCAUAGGGGAAGGAAAACCUAAAGAAAAUCUGAUGGAAGAUCUGAGAGUGAGAUGACCUCAGCCACGAGCACAGGCCUCAGGAGCGUAUGUUCCGGCCCCUAAGCACCGCUUCCCCGGGUCUCUCCUUGGUCUGUGCGCAUCAACGCUGCCUCGGUGUGCACUCUGAUCCGCCGCCAGACGAACGGGCAUGCUGUCCUUCUGAGCUUGUUUUCUGCAGCCUGUCUUCCUUGCAGUGUCAGAAAGACCACAAAAGGCUGUAUUGUCUAUUCAGUUUUCCAAACUUCAGCCAUCCAGUCCACGAUCAGUUUUUCCCCCGGGGCAGUUGAGAAGUCAUUUCUAUCUUUUUGUUUAUUAAGAAGCAAGAACCAGCUAUGAAUACAAUCUAGAGCAAGAGUAUGGUCUAGCGUAGACAGGGAAGAACCAGAUAUGAGAUAAACAGGUCAAAACCCGAGCCAUGACCUCAGCUGGAAGCAUGAUGGAGAAGCAGGCCAAACGCAGUGCCUAGGGAAAGCCAUCUGUUUAGAAAAAGAUGUCAGAUCGCAGGCUCGGGGCACGCAGGCUUCAGCAGUGGUGGAGCGGGCUCAGCAGUUUGGGCUUCGAGACUUGGAGCACAGGCUCAACAGCUGUGGCGCCCGACCUUAGCUACUCCGCAGCAUGUGGGAUCUUCCUGGAUCAGGAAUUGAACCUGUGUCUCCUGCAUUGGCAGGGGGAUUCUUUACCACCCAGCCACCAGGAAAGCCCAAGAUGUCUUUUCAUUAAUUUUUACAAGAGGUUAAGAACUCUAAAGCCCAAUUGUGAUAAUUCUCUAAACUUUUCUGGGGACAACUCUUUAUUUAAAUAGAGUUUUAAAUAGCCUAAAUUAACUUUUUCCUUCACUACUCUUUCUCCCUGCCAGUUAAAAGAGAAUUUCUUGUCAUCUCUCUAUUGGGAAUAAAGAAAUUCCUUGGCUUUUUUCCUUAUUCAUCAAAUACUUAUUACCUGUAUUCAAUCAGUACAAGUCCUAUGUUAGACACUGAGAUCAGAAUGGUUGUAUUUUUAACUUUUAAAGUUUUAUUAUGGAAAUAGCAUUUAACAUGAGAUCCACCUCUUUACAUUCUUUAAGUGUACAAUAUAUUAUCAUUGACUAUAGGUACAAUAUUGUACAUCAUAGAUACCUCAUAUAAAUGGAAUCAAGCCAUAUCUGUCUUCUGUAGUUGGCUUGUUUCACUUAGUAUCUCCUUCAGGAUUGUUCACAUGAUUUAGUAUUGCAGAAUUCAUAUCUUUUUAAAGGCUACAUAGUAUUCCAUUUGAUGCACAUACCACAGUUUCUUUAUACAUUUAUCUGUUAAUGGAGUUUUAAUUUGUUUCCACAACUGGGCUAUUAUGAAUGCUGCUGCAAUGAACACAGGAGUGGUAAAACCUUUUUGGAUUCUGAUUUCAAUUUUUGGGGGUAAAUCCCAGACGUGGAAUUGCUGGAUCUCAAGAUAUCAUUCUCCACUAAAAGGAACUACAGCUCCUUGGAGGAAUUUCUGAUUCCUGGGCUGGGAAAGGGAAAAAACAGAUCUAUCUUCACUUGAUUUGCUGGCCCUAUCAUUAGAAUUUGCUGAGCCUCCCCCUGCCUUAGGACCUUUGAACUUGCUCUUUUUGUACCUGGAAUGAUCUUCUCUCAAGUUUGCACAUGGCUCUCUGCAUCUUGUUACUUGGUUCUCUUAUGAAAAUAUCCUCAGAGGGUCCUUUCCUGACCACCCUAACACAGAAUUUCACAGCAGAAGAAACUACUAUCACUGAUUUGGAGGAAGAAUGAUAGAGAAAACAUGUAUGUUGUGGAUUGACUAAUCUUGACAGCUCUUUUAAAAUCAAGAAGAAAGCAUUAUUGCUGAGACAGCUUCAAGGAGGUCUUUAGCAUGUAAAGAAAGCAUGCGAGAAUUAACAGCAGUUGGGCUAAGACUUGGGAGAACCAAGGAAUUAUGAGAAUAAAAAAGAAAAACAGGUAGAGCUACGGAAGCAUUGAGGAUGAGAAGCCAGCUCCAAAGGAAGAGAAAAUAAAGAGCCAUGGUGUUUUGAGCAUGCAUCCUGAGUGAAGACAGACAUGUAUAUAUUCAAUUUCUGACUUUGACAUUUUCCAGUUGGGUAAAUGGCUGUGGGGGAGUUCAUUGAACAAACUAAACUUCCUAGUUUUCCAUGUGAAAAAUGAGGAUUUCAGUUUUUGUUGUGAGCAUCCUGAAAUAAAUACUUAGCAAUCAUCAUUAUUAAAUAACUCACUGAGUUACUUAUAACAUGGCUUACUUUGUAAGAAGUACUGUAGACAGCAAUAGGCUGACAGUAUGUAUGGCAUGGAUAUAAAUACUUUGAUAAUGUGAAGACAGUGGAAAGGAAAUUCAAAUUCACAGCAGUAGUCAAGUAACAGAAGACCCCUGGAAGAUGCAUGUGCAGCCUUCAUCCAGACCUGCAGUUUUCUUGGCCCACUUGCUGCUGCGCAGGGGUCUUGACUGGCUACAUCCUGGCCCUGGUUAAUGUGUGCUCCGCUUCCCUGGGCUAUGUUGUCACUUCUCAAGCUCUAGAGGACAAAUGUGCUCACAUUAGUAUCUGACUAGUUUUACAUUUCUCCUAGAAACUGUUCUGAAUUUUCA